AACGCUGGCGGCAUGCCUCAUACAUGCAAGUCGAACGAGAAGCUAGACUUCGGUUUAGUGGACAGUGGCGAACGGGUGCGUAACGCGUGGGAAAUUACCAUAGAGUGGGGGACAACAGUUGGAAACGACUGCUAAUACCGCAUACGCCCUUCGGGGGAAAGUUUUAUAUGCUCUGUGAUAUGCCCGCGUUAGAUUAGCUAGGUGGUAAGGUAAGAGCUUACCAAGGCGACGAUCUAUAGCUGGUUUGAGAGGACGAUCAGCCACACUGGGACUGAGACACGGCCCAGACUCCUGCGGGAGGCAGCAGUAGGGAAUAUUGGACAAUGGGGCAACCCUGAUCCAGCAAUGCCGCGUGUGUGAAGAAGGCCUUCGGGUUGUAAAACACUUUCAACUGAGAUGAUGAUGACAGUAUCAGUAGAAGAAGCUCCGGCUAACU
RNAcentral lists this ribosomal RNA (436 nucleotides) under uncultured Alphaproteobacteria bacterium. RNAcentral describes it as "bacterial SSU rRNA". It matches the Rfam family "Bacterial small subunit ribosomal RNA", at positions 32 to 502 of the family's 1533-position model. Lineage: Bacteria; Pseudomonadati; Pseudomonadota; Alphaproteobacteria. The record is from RNAcentral.